Molecule: transfer RNA, 87 nt
Filed under: Candidatus Moraniibacteriota bacterium
Lineage: Bacteria; Candidatus Moraniibacteriota
Description: Candidatus Moranbacteria bacterium tRNA-Leu
Rfam family: tRNA
About the family: Transfer RNA (tRNA) molecules are approximately 80 nucleotides in length.
Source: RNAcentral
GGGCGAGUGGCGGAAUCGGCAGACGCAGCGGACUUAAAAUUCGCAGUCCCGAUGAGGGACAUGAGGGUUCGAGUCCCUCCUCGCCCA